UGAAAGCUUUACAAGAUUAGCUGAGAAAUAGUCAUCAUCGCAAUCAUCAUCAUAAAUCUUGUUGUGUGGAACUCAGAAGUUGUGCAGCUCAGAAGGUUGUUACACUUCUAACCAACACUGGCAAGAUAACUCUCAAAAUUAUUUGAACCACUUCAAACCCUGCUCCCAGUUUUGACUGUGCACUGCAGGAGAACAUCAGAGUGCUAGCUACAAAAUAUCCUGGAGAAGAAUUUCCACUAUACAUGAUCAGAAUUGAACUGGAGACAAAAAUGUCAAAAAGACUUUCAAAGGACCAGAAACCACAAAAGGACCACUCACAUUCUGCUGCAAUUGCAUUUUGGAAAUGAUGUCUGUUUAAAGAUCUUGAUUCUAAGGCUAGGAAUGGACAAUUCUUUGAUGUAUACUGUUUGGAAGAAUACUGACAAAGUGGGCUUCCAUAUAUCUUUUGCACAAAUUUCACUGUAUGUUCUUUAUCAUUAGUACAGGUAACUAGGAUCCAGUUUUUAUAUAAGUUUCCAUCUAUUACCAUAAUAGCUGCUUUAUGCCUGGUAGUUACUUGCUUUGUUUUUCAUUCCCAUUUUAUAACAGCAUGCCUUAAACCCCAUCAAUAUUCAAGUUAGCACUUUAAAAUGAAACUAUAAAUUUCAAUUUGGAGAAAAUAAGCCCUUAUUCGGGCUCAUAAGUUUUAAAUAAAGCAUUACCAUUGGCUACAUUAAGUUUGCAUUUCUAAUGUUAUUUUAUGCAUUUGACAAUAGAUGUUCCACUCU
Mauremys reevesii (Reeves's turtle) is the source of this 767-nucleotide long non-coding RNA. RefSeq lists it as uncharacterized. NCBI's taxonomy places the organism in Eukaryota, Metazoa, Chordata, Testudines, Geoemydidae. The record is from RefSeq and is a predicted model, not a curated record. The transcript is spliced from 3 exons.